RNAcentral lists this ribosomal RNA (492 nucleotides) under uncultured bacterium. Its description in RNAcentral is "partial 16S ribosomal RNA". It matches the Rfam family "Bacterial small subunit ribosomal RNA", at positions 30 to 507 of the family's 1533-position model. The record is from RNAcentral.
AGUGAACGCUGGCGGUAGGCCUAACACAUGCAAGUCGAACGGGAGCACAGUAGGAGCGUGCUCUUACGGGAGGCGAGUGGCGGACGGGUGAGGGAUACAUCGGAAUGUACUGUUGCGGGGGGGAUAACGGAGGGAAACUUACGCUAAUACCGGAUACGACCGACGGGUGAAAGCAGGGGAUCGUCGGACCUUGCGGGAUGGAAUGAGCCGCUGUCGGAUUAGCGAGGUGGUGGGGGAACGGCCAACCAAGGCGACGAUGCGUAGCUGGUCUGAGGGGAUGAUCAGCCGCACGUGAACUGGGACACCGUCCCGACCCCUACGGGAGGCAGCAGUCGGGCAUAUUCGACAAUGGGCGCAAGCCUGUUCCAGCCAUACCGCGUGGGUGAAGCAGGCCUUCGGGUUGUAAAGCCCUUCUGUUGGGAAAGAAAAGCCGCCUGUUCAUACCGCGCUGUUCUGACGGUACCCAAAGAAUAAGCACCGGCUAACUUCGUG